Molecule: long non-coding RNA, 604 nt
Organism: Selaginella moellendorffii
Lineage: Eukaryota; Viridiplantae; Streptophyta; Lycopodiopsida; Selaginellales; Selaginellaceae
Exons: 3
Source: RefSeq, a predicted model, not a curated record
GCCAUGCCGAAGUGAGCGCUAGAAGAACAUUGCUCAAAUGAGGGGCAAGAUUCCCGAGUUUUUCAAGAGGGAUGAUAAUGGCAAACUGCGCAUGCAUCUCUACAUCAGCCAGUCACCUUUGGAGACGCAUGCAUCUUAGGAGUUGAUCCUGGGGCCGGAGAAGACGAUCACAGUGUUUUUUGCUGCACGACGGUGGCAAAGCUGGUGUCUACACAAGUUCACUCGGAACAAAGCCUGCAGACAAUGGCCAUGCUUAGGCGAAAGCCUGGCCGGGGAGAUGCCACUUUCUCUAGGAGUUGUAGCGACAAGAUCGCAAGAUGGAACGUUUUGGGAGUUCACUCCUGGAUCAAACACUGUAUGUAGGAGCUCUCUUGUCCUUGUUCCUCAACGAACCAGGAUACAUCUCGACGGUUACUGUUGCUAGGAGCACGAAAGCAUCGUGUGCUCAGUGGCACGGAAUCUAGAAGCUCCUUACAGACUCAACCAGGUAAGACUUUGUGAAAUGCUUUUGUAAUCCUCGUAUGCAGCCAGUGAUUUGGCUCGCACCAACACCUCCGGAGGAUUACAUGCUCUAUCCAAGUGGAUUGCCUGCGGGUUUGGCUUU